Molecule: ribosomal RNA, 253 nt
Filed under: uncultured Eubacteriales bacterium
Lineage: Bacteria; Bacillati; Bacillota; Clostridia; Eubacteriales
Description: uncultured Clostridiales bacterium partial 16S ribosomal RNA
Rfam family: Bacterial small subunit ribosomal RNA
Source: RNAcentral
UACGUAGGGGGCGAGCGUUGUCCGGAAUGACUGGGCGUAAAGGGCGUGUAGGCGGCUCUUUAAGUCUGGAGUGAAAGUCCUGCUUUCAAGGUGGGAAUUGCUUUGGAGACUGGAGAGCUUGAGUGCGGAAGAGGUAAGUGGAAUUCCCAGUGUAGCGGUGAAAUGCGUAGAGAUUGGGAGGAACACCAGUGGCGAAGGCGACUUACUGGGCCGUAACUGACACUGAGGCGCGAAAGCGUGGGGAGCAAACAGG